Molecule: long non-coding RNA, 295 nt
Organism: Cucurbita maxima (winter squash)
Lineage: Eukaryota; Viridiplantae; Streptophyta; Magnoliopsida; Cucurbitales; Cucurbitaceae
Exons: 2
Source: RefSeq, a predicted model, not a curated record
GUGCGAACCCCGACGCACCGGAAGCCUCCGCCUGUAUAAUUUCCGGUAAGGUCGUGUCUGAUGGCGUCGUGUCUGCCAGGUCAACGCUUUCCGGUUGCUGGAGUAAAAAUCAGGAACACAAACGGCAAGAAGAGAUGAAAGAUGAGGAUGUUCUUUCUUACCACAUUUUUCUAGCAAUUGGGUCUUCAAUGGCGGAUUCAGAGACGUUCUCCAUUUGUGUAUCAGAAGAGAUGAAAGAUGAGGAUGUUCUUUCUUACCACAUUUUUCUAGCAAUUGGUCUUCAAGCGCGGAUUCA